RNAcentral lists this long non-coding RNA (807 nucleotides) under Sus scrofa (pig). RNAcentral describes it as "lncRNA (ENSSSCG00060075607.1)". Lineage: Eukaryota; Metazoa; Chordata; Mammalia; Artiodactyla; Suidae. The record is from RNAcentral.
AAGGCCAAGUCCAGAUCUUGAGUGAGUACAAAUCCACGAGGAAGCAGAGAUGAGCAAGGCUCAACAAUUCAUUUGGACCUUGACUGAUUUUUUUCAAGCUUUCCUUGAAAUGGCAGCAGAGGGACUAACAAGAACAUGAGCUGCAAGGAUAAAGAGAACAGCAAAGGAGAAGAGAACAAUAAAAUCUCAGACCUGGGGAGCACAGGGAACAGCUGAACCGACUGAGGAAACCAGGGAGAUGAAAACUGGGCGUUGCAGGAAGGUCCCCAAACCCCGAGGUCUUCAGUACAAAACGUGAGGCUGCAGAAUUGGGGGCCCAGGUACUUCUACGUGUGGGUGCGCAAGUGACGCUGGAAACUGGAAGGCUGCCUGAGAGUCUGCGCCAGAAGCUCUGGAUUCUCAGAUUCCCUCCCUCGUACAACCGGAGCAACUGGGGGACUUUGCUCUACAAAGAAGCGGAGCAACGCCUUCCGAAUUCUCAGCGAAGGAGUUCCCGUCCCGGUGGAGUGGAAACGAACCCAGCAAGGAUCCAUGAGGAACCAUUUCAACUCCCUAUUUGGUUGGCCUUCUUUGAGAUUCUCUCCAGAUCCACGGCCCUUCCACCCCGAGUCCCUGCAUCCAGAGCGGCAGCGAGUGCCUCUCUAAAGAGAAAGCUCUCUGCCACAUCUUUCUUGAGAACAAAUUUGCUCCAUUCCUAUCUUCUUGGCGGGUGAGUAAGUUUACCCUGGGUAGCAUUACUGCUUGUUUUUCAUUAUUCUGUUUUCCUGGCCGGGCUGUGCAAUUCCUCUCCUCGUAAUUUUCCUUGGU